RNAcentral lists this ribosomal RNA (495 nucleotides) under uncultured bacterium. Its description in RNAcentral is "partial 16S ribosomal RNA". It matches the Rfam family "Bacterial small subunit ribosomal RNA", at positions 28 to 507 of the family's 1533-position model. The record is from RNAcentral.
GACGAACGCUGGCGGCGUGCCUAAUACAUGCAAGUAGAACGCUGAAGGAGGAGCUUGCUUCUCUGGAUGAGUUGCGAACGGGUGAGUAACGCGUAGGUAACCUGCCUGGUAGCGGGGGAUAACUAUUGGAAACGAUAGCUAAUACCGCAUAAUAGUAGAUGUUGCAUGACAUUUGCUUAAAAGGUGCAAUUGCAUCACUACCAGAUGGACCUGCGUCGUAUUAGCUAGUUGGUGGGGUAACGGCUCACCAAGGCGACGAUACAUAGCCGACCUGAGAGGGUGAUCGGCCACCCUGGGACUGAGACACGGCCCAGACUCCUACGGGAGGCAGCAGUAGGGAAUCUUCGGCAAUGGACGGAAGUCUGACCGAGCAACGCCGCGUGAGUGAAGAAGGUUUUCGGAUCGUAAAGCUCUGUUGUAAGAGAAGAACGAGUGUGAGAGUGGAAAGUUCACACUGUGACGGUAUCUUACCAGAAAGGGACGGCUAACUACGUG